Doryrhamphus excisus (bluestripe pipefish) is the source of this 1600-nucleotide RNA transcript. It is a transcript of the gene named potassium channel, subfamily K, member 4a, with no coding region annotated. The record is from RefSeq and is a predicted model, not a curated record. NCBI's taxonomy places the organism in Eukaryota, Metazoa, Chordata, Actinopteri, Syngnathiformes, Syngnathidae.
GUAGAAAAUAUGGAAAGUAAAAAAAACAAAAAAUUUUUUUGAAGUUAAUACUAAUAAUACUAUAAUAAUAAUAAUAUACUACUACAAUAUAUGACAAAGCUGAGAUGGAGUUUUUCUCCAAAUACAUACAUUUUUCACAAUGUGGCCCUCGCUGUAAAAAGUUUGGACACCCCUAUUGUAAGUCUUUUGAGUUCACUGUUGCCAUGGUGAUAUGGAUUGGGUUGCGGUCUUGCUUCCUUCAUUAAAAAAUGGCAUUCAAAUACAUUUUGUGAACUACCAAAUAAUGCAUUUUAAAAUGACAUCAUAAUAAUAAAUAGCGGAUGACAAACCCCAAUAUCUGUCAAAGUAUGCCCCCUUGUGGCUGUGAACGGAAUUGCUGACCGCCAUUGAAAUUAGCAAUUUAUUUAUUUAUACCCCAAAAAAAUGUUAUUUUUUCUGUUCGUACGAUAAUAUCAAAACAUAAAUGUGCAUCAAUGUUUAAAAUUUUGAAAACAAAAUGUUUUGUGUGCAUAUUUGGUGAGAUUGUCAACAUUUUUUGGGACGUGCGCGAGCCUACGACGUCACAACCAAAACAAAGAUGGCGGCCCUCGAUGGUAACUUUGUGGCGUUUGUGUUUAUAAAACGCUUUUUUGAUAUUUACUACACCGCUUACUUUGAAGUAAACACACAUUUCAUGGAAAGGAGGAGUUUGUAGUGGUUUUAAAAAAUAUUAUAUCGCCACCUGCUGGCUUUGGAAUCCACAUUUCAGCGAUGUAUUGCCGAAAUAUGCUCUAGCUUAAAAUAGGUUGCUAAUACCCCGGAUGUGCGUGAUAAACAACUCCGUGUUAAAUUGAAAUGAAGGCGUCUCUCCAGAUGACUUAUUUUAAGCUCAACAAUUUAGUGUCAGACAUUUUGUGCUUUCUACAGACGCGCUGACCUCUCUUAAGUCCUCGUUGAACCCAAAAUGGGUGCAUGCGGUCUCCAUUCAGUGAGGGUUCUGAUUCCUCGGGAGGCCAUUGAACGCAACAAGAGGACCAUUAUAGCUUUUGACAAGUUGAUUCAUAUGUAUUUUUUUUUUAAAUAUAUAUUUUUUUGUUAAGUUGUUGUGAUGUCAGGAAUAAAAAUACGUGGAAGAUUGUUACAACAAGUUUGAAACUUUUUUUAGUGCAUAAAUAGGUCUUAUUUUAUGACGUGACGUCAUAAAUCUGCGCCAGGACGCUCUCUAGUGUUUAAAAAGAGAAUCGCCUGUCUUCAAUGUAACACAAUGGCCGACCGCGCCUCCUCCUCCAACUCCUUUAUAACCUUUUUAUUUGUUCUUUACGGAUGUCAAUGCCUCGUCUAGCGUCCACGUCCAGAGCCCACGUCCCUCCCACAAGACCGUCAGCGUGGGAUAAGUACAGGAAAAUGGCGUCCGUGUGGUGUCUUCGCUGCCUUGUGUGUCUUCGUGAAGUCUUAAAGUGGCAACCGCUGAUGACAUCAUAAAUGAGCGACAUAGCGAGUGAAAAAUGAACUUUGAGCAUCGGAGCCUUUUGGGUCGCAAAAGUCUUAUAAUAUUAUAAGCACGGGAACUGAUUAUGCGAUGCAUUCAAUUGUAAUCUGAUGCAUGUUCAAAUGAAAUAAA